Molecule: ribosomal RNA, 643 nt
Filed under: uncultured bacterium
Lineage: Bacteria
Description: bacterial SSU rRNA
Rfam family: Bacterial small subunit ribosomal RNA
Source: RNAcentral
GAGUUUGAUCAUGGCUCAGGACGAACGCUGGCGGCGCGCCUAACACAUGCAAGUCGAGCGAGAAUUUAGUUUCGGAUUCUUCGGAUGAAGAAGCUAAAGGAAAGCGGCGGACGGGUGAGUAACGCGUGGGAAACCUGCCUUAUGCAGAGGGAUAGCCUCGGGAAACUGGGAUUAAUACCUCAUAAUACUCUAGUAUCGCAUGAUACGAGAGUCAAAGUGAUUCAGCGGCAUAAGAUGGUCCCGCGUCCCAUUAACUAGUUGGUAAGGUAACGGCUUACCAAGGUGACGAUGGGUAGCCGGCCUGAGAGGGUGAACGGCCACACUGGAACUGAGACACGGUCCAGACUCCUACGGGAGGCAGCAGUGGGGAAUAUUGCACAAUGGGGGAAACCCUGAUGCAGCGACGCCGCGUGAGCGAUGAAGGUUUUCGAAUCGUAAAGCUCUGUCCUAUGGGAAGAAAAACGACGGUACCAUAGGAGGAAGCCCCGGCUAACUACGUGCCAGCAGCCGCGGUAAUACGUAGGGGGCGAGCGUUGUCCGGAAUUAUUGGGCGUAAAGGGUGUGUAGGCGGUCUAGUAAGUCAGAUGUGAAAGCCAUCGGCUCAACCGAUGUAAGCAUUUGAAACUACUGGACUUGAGUGCAG